RNAcentral lists this ribosomal RNA (492 nucleotides) under uncultured bacterium. RNAcentral describes it as "partial 16S ribosomal RNA". It matches the Rfam family "Bacterial small subunit ribosomal RNA", at positions 29 to 507 of the family's 1533-position model. The record is from RNAcentral.
AGUGAACGCUGGCGGUAGGCCUAACACAUGCAAGUCGAACGGCAGCACAGUAAGAGCUUGCUCUUACGGGUGGCGAGUGGCGGACGGGUGAGGAAUACAUCGGAAUCUACUUUUUCGUGGGGGAUAACGUAGGGAAACUUAAGCUAAUACCGCAUACGACCUACGGGUGAAAGGAGGGGAUCUUCGGACCUUGCGCGAUUGACUGAGCCGAUGUCGGAUUAGCUAGUUGGCGGGGUAAAGGCCCACCAAGGCGACGAACCGUAGCUGGUCUGAGAGGAUGAUCAGCCACACUGGAACGGAGACACGGUCCAGACUCCUACGGGAGGCAGCAGUGUGGAAUAUUGGACAAAGGGCGCAAGCCUUAUCCAGCCAUACCGCGUGGGUGAAGAAGGCCUUCGGGUUGUAAAGCCCUUUUGUUGGGAAAGAAAAGCAGCAGGUUAAUACCCCGCUGUUCUGACGGUACCCAAAGAAUAAGCACCGGCUAACUUCGUG